This 221-nucleotide unclassified non-coding RNA is filed under the name uncultured Mycena. Its description in RNAcentral is "sequence contains ITS2". Lineage: Eukaryota; Fungi; Basidiomycota; Agaricomycetes; Agaricales; Tricholomataceae. The record is from RNAcentral.
AAUUCUCAACCUUGCAAGCUUUUUUUUUUUGCUAGCGAGGCUUGGAUGUGAGGGCUUUUGCUGGCUUCCUUCAUUGGAUGGUCUGCUCCCUUUAAAUUCAUUAGUGGGAUCCUUUGUGGAUGGUCACUUGGUGUGAUAAUUAUCUACGCCGCCUGACUCUGAAACAAGACUUGUGGGGACCUGCUCAUAACCGUCUCUUUAAGGGACAAUCUAUAUUGACA